This 69-nucleotide transfer RNA is filed under the name Halocaridina rubra (Hawaiian volcano shrimp). RNAcentral's name for it is "tRNA-Glu". It matches the Rfam family "tRNA". Rfam says of the family: Transfer RNA (tRNA) molecules are approximately 80 nucleotides in length. The record is from RNAcentral. Lineage: Eukaryota; Metazoa; Arthropoda; Malacostraca; Decapoda; Atyidae.
AUUUUUAUGGUGUAGUAAACACAUUACAUUUUCAUUGUAAAACCAAAGGUUUCAACCCUUUUAAAAAUA